This 492-nucleotide ribosomal RNA is filed under the name uncultured bacterium. RNAcentral's name for it is "partial 16S ribosomal RNA". It matches the Rfam family "Bacterial small subunit ribosomal RNA", at positions 29 to 507 of the family's 1533-position model. The record is from RNAcentral.
AGUGAACGCUGGCGGUAGGCCUAACACAUGCAAGUCGAACGGCAGCACAGUAAGAGCUUGCUCUUACGGGUGGCGAGUGGCGGACGGGUGAGGAAUACAUCGGAAUCUACUUUUUCGUGGGGGAUAACGUAGGGAAACUUACGCUAAUACCGCAUACGACCUACGGGUGAAAGCAGGGGAUCUUCGGACCUUGCGCGAUUGAAUGAGCCGAUGUCGGAUUAGCUAGUUGGCGGGGUAAAGGCCCACCAAGGCGACGAUCCGUAGCUGGUCUGAGAGGAUGAUCAGCCACACGGGAACUGAGACACGGUCCAGACUCCUACGGGAGGCAGCAGUGGGGAAUAUUGGACAAUGGGCGCAAGCCUGAUCCAGCCAGACCGCGUGGGUGAAGAAGGCCUUCGGGUUGUAGAGCCCUUUUGUUGGGAAAGAAAAGCAGCAGGUUAAUACCCCGCUGUUCUGACGGUACCCAAAGAAUAAGCACCGGCUAACUUCGUG